AUGCUGAGAGGAUUGAUAAGUUUCAGUGUCUUAAUGAUUGUCACUGAAGGAGCAUCAGUGAAAGUUCAUCCAGGAGGAAACACAACACUCCCCUGUAGCAUUAAAGAUGAUAAAGAGAUUACCUGGAUCAUUAUAAAUGGAAACCAAACAUUUGUCAGAAUUCUGAGACUAGAAUAUGUUUAUGGUCCACAAUCUAAACCAGAGCCCUCCUAUAUUCACCCCAGUUAUGCAGGUCGGAUAAGAGCUCUCAGUUCAUCCACGAACACUCACUCUCUGCUUCUGAUGAACAUCACUGACACUGAUCUCAUGCUCUUCUGCUGCACUGACUAUAAGAUUGAGCAAACUCACUGCACAAAACUGGAUUAUGAAGAGCAGCAGAAUACAGAAGAGAUAGAGGAUACAAAAACUAUUGGUAUUGGUAAUUAUAUCAGUACCACAGUAUGGCUGCCUGUGGUCUGUGUACUUCUAUUACUCUCACUGAUGUCAAAUGUGUGUAUGUGCUGGAGAAUAAAAAGACAAAAAAAAGAAAACUUAAAGGAAUCAAAGACAUUAUAUAAACAGAAUGAGCAGGAGAAUGAAGCUGAUGGAAUUUCAUAUGCAUCUGUUAAUAUAAAUAAAAUGCAAAGAAACAGAGGACAACAUCAUCUCACACAGGACACAGUAUAUGCACGCAUUAAGUGAAAAGAAAUGCAUUUCCAAAAUCUAGAAUGUCUGCCUUUAUUUUGUAUAACAUAAAUAAAAACUGCAUAAAUUUAAUGACA
Molecule: long non-coding RNA, 761 nt
Organism: Cyprinus carpio (common carp)
Lineage: Eukaryota; Metazoa; Chordata; Actinopteri; Cypriniformes; Cyprinidae
Source: Ensembl